UAUUUUUUUUUUCGUAACAUUUAGAGGAAAUUUUUGGUCAGAUUGAAAAAGGCCUAAUCUGGGUCAGAUGACACUUUUAUUUAUUUAUUUAUUUUUUUCUUUAUUGCUGUCCUUCGGAUUGUGAUCCAUGGAUUCCUUGAGUGCCUACUUUUAUUAUUUUGUUUCCAAGAAGCAGCCCUAUGUAGAAAAUUUUACUCUCAUAUAGAUUUGGCAGUUGCAAUUCAGUCAUGCUUUUAACAAUUUCGCAACUGUCAACUGGCAUGACUGAAUUUUUUUUUUUUUUUACUACAAAAAAUUAGCAUUCUUCCUUUCCCUUUUGAUUGCAAAUGGCAUCAUAACUGAGCUGAAUUGUCAGUUGGGAGUUUGCAUGUGUUAUUGUCUUACCAGCAAAAUUAUGAACUUGUUUGAUAUCAGUAGUUGAUAAUGAAAUCUGUAUAUUCUUUUCUAAAUCUUGAACAUGGACCUUCAAGUUGUGACACAAAUAGUUAUGGUUACUAAUGAAAGCUCUGUUUUAAUUUCUGAUUAUAUAUGUUUGGAUGCAAGGGAUUUAUGGUUGACAGUUUAAACCUUUUGCUGUUGAUGUAUAAUUAUACCAAGCACAGGGUUUGGGUUUUUGGGUCUUCAUUGUUUUUAUUUUUUAUUUUUUUUAAUUCUGUUUUAAUUAUUUGCUGUAAAUUUGUUGGUUUUGGUUUUGCUCUUGAAAGUUGGGUUCAUGAGAGUACCCCUGUGAAAAUGGAAAUCAUAUCUGUUGUAUGAAUAUGAUUUGAAAGAAGUCAAGGGAUUAGUCUGUAGCUUGAUUAGUCUGUGCUGAGAUGGCAUGGUUGUUGUCUGCUGCUGCUGUUGCUGUUGCUGUUGCUGUUGCUGUUGUUGUUGUUGAUGUUGUUGUUGCUGUUGUUGCUGCUGCUGCUUACCUUUAUAGUUCUAGAAGUAUUCUGUUUGGUUCUAGUUAUUAUCCAUAGUUAAUUCAUUGACAUGAGUCCUCCACAUGGCUUACCCCAUCCCUUCUUCCGUUUUGGAAAUCCUUCCCGGAUGAUAUCACCCAAGGGUUGCAAUUUGUCUGAAAGGCUUCUUUUACUGUUGAACAAUUUUGAGGAAACCUUGGGUGGGAGGCUGAGAAAGCUUAACCCAACGGAGCAGGUUACGAACUCAGCCAAAGGGAAGGUUUUAAUGCGUGCUAUGUAUGGGGUUUUUUUUGAUGGUAUUUAUCUACAGUGUCUUUUCUUCACCCUUCUCUAGUUCUGCAAUAGAGUUGUUUGAUUUGAAUGUUGAUGACAAAGGGUUUUGUGGGCUCAAGCUUUUACUAGUUUGCAAACUAGCAUUAAUAGUGAAAUUAGAAAUUUAUAUUCAAGUGGAAGAUUUACAGUUUUGAAAGAGCUCGAAGCAGUUGAUACAAGUGUAAAUAAAUUGUAUCCCACGAUCCAAGGUGGUGUGGACCCUAUUAAAGCGGAAGCAUUCCUUGUCAUCCGUUUCAGAUUUGGCAAGGAGAGCAGAGGGACUUCCAUAGGGACUAUAGAUCUUCUUACAAAGGAAGUUGAUGGCUUUUUUCAUGUAGUUUUAACUAGGCGUGAUGCUUUGCUAUGUAAUGGUACUCUGUGACCCAAAGCUAGGUUGCUACAUAUGUAGAAAGAGUACAAUCUUAAUGAUAUUGAAGCUAUACUCUCUCCUGUAUACAAACAGGUUUUAUA
Long non-coding RNA from Quercus robur (English oak), 1685 nucleotides. RefSeq lists it as uncharacterized. The record is from RefSeq and is a predicted model, not a curated record. Lineage: Eukaryota; Viridiplantae; Streptophyta; Magnoliopsida; Fagales; Fagaceae. The transcript is spliced from 2 exons.